UAAUAUCUUAGAACAGUGGCGGCGUGACAAGGGUUUUAUGAAACCCGGGUCUCAUGGCGAUUUAGGUGGGUGGGUAGAUGUCGUGGUCAUGUUUAUUACUUUUCUAUGGUGUGUGUACCUAUUAUUAUAAAUGUACUCGACACUCGUAAACUCUUUUGAGGGUGGGUGAUCCCUAAAAACGUUUUUAUCUCAUGAAUGAAAAAUGUUCACGCCACCACUGGUGACCUAGAAACCCAGUCGUGUUUUUAACGUUGUACCCUUCAUUUGUGAUAUUUAUUCCUUUUGAUUACUUUUAUUUUAAUUUUUUUUAUAUUAACUAAAUAAUUAUGUGUCGUAUAAUUCUCGAAGACGACAUCUCACGUAACGAACGAAUUUUGCAAAAUGCGUAAGUGUUAGUAAUUUUAAAUUAUUUUGAUAUAUAUUUAUAUAUAUAUAUUUUUUUAUUCAGUGAGAUAAUUGAGCCGCCGGUCGUUCGGUCAGCUAACCCUGACACUAUAAUUUAUUUAAGACGGUUGCAUCAAGAAUAUUCACUUAUAAAUAAUUCAGGUGAGAAGAUAAGGAUAUGGUCAGCACAUGCGAGAUCGGUUUCUGUACGGUGCAAUGUAGAAAUGAGAGUUUUGUGUAUGUUGAUGCGUGAAAGUCAUUAUGAUCGAUCGAUUCCUGAAGAUGAGGUUAUAAUUCAACUAUCGUUUCGUGAGUUAUUACACUCAUCUAGAACAAUCAGGAGGCAUACCCAGUACUAUAUCAUUAUGCAGUUACUAUAUGGACUCAGGCGAAUUGCGAUUUUCGAUUCCGAACGCAUUAGGGAAAAAUUAGAAAUGGAUUGGACGUUAAAUGUCCUAACCAUUCUUACCUACUUAGAUUUCGACUUCGACACUUCUCGUUUUAUACUACAUAGAAUAAGAAACCUGAACUAAAAAUGAACUUAUAAAUAAUAUAUUCCUUAUUACCAUACAUCAGUUUAUAUUAUUUCAGAAAAACCAUAUGCUCACUAUCCUUACUAACAUAAUAUCUAUUUUCACCUAGCAUUGUGUUUCUCUAAAUAGUUGAAAAAAAAAAUAGUUGAAAAAAAAAAAACUACCUACUUCAACAAACAAUAUGUUUGACAUCAACGGACGGUCGGUACCUUACCCAUGUGGCUGCUCGAUCAGUGUGUAUCCAGUCUUUUGUCCGGUGUACACACAUUUUGCGUUUACAGUUUUUCUCAACAGAUAUUCAGAUACGGAUUUAUCUACUUAUAUGAGAUUUUUAUUUAUCAUAGUAGGUAUUUAUAAUUUUUAUAUUUCGUUUGUGAUAAUCAUUACCGGUAAAAAUUUAAGUAUUUUGUUUUAUAUUAUUCGUAAGAUAUUUUAAGAAUUACAUAUAAUCCGAUUUUUAGAUGUCAAAUAAUUCAUCACCGAGUUCUCCGGUAUAUGGAGGAGAUGAGUAUAAUUGACGUCUGGCUGAAAUACAUAGCCAGUCUCCAGUUCUCAUCAACAUGCAUGAGCAUGACUUUUUCGUAUAUGGUGAAAUGACUCAAUCCGGAGAUAGUGGUUACUCGACUAACCAGAGCACGCAAGUUGAAAAUAAUGAUUGGCAUAGGGCAUUUUCGACUAUUCAUCCCCCUGCAACACCAUCACCACCUUGACUAUCACAGAUGGAGAAUUGUUAACGUUCUUUGACACCGGUUUAGCCUGUCUUGUUGGAAGAAGCUUCGCCAGACAUGUUUCCGCCGACAACAUCGAUAGCAUACGUACUGAGGGUGAGAAACGACCUUUUUCCAGACUUAGAUUCCCAGUCCUCAGUUUCACAUAGCACGGUAGAAAUUCCUCGGUUCAUGUUAGCCCCCGAAUAUAACAUGCUAUUUGAAGGGGAAAUUAUGAAUACGUUACGUCAUUCUGGAGAGCAGACAGCAGAAAUGGAUUGGAGUGAAGAUGGAAAUGACGAGGAGUUGAUCAGUCAUAUGGAGGCAUAUGAAGAUGAUGAAGAACUUAACCGACACAUGGAUGAAUAUGAAGGUUUUUGAGGGGGGGUGUAAUAAUUAUAUUAUUUAUUAUUAAAAUAUAUAUAUUUUUAAAUUUUAAAACCAUGCAUUCAAUAAUAUAUAUUUUCAAACUAUAUUAAUAUUUUUAAAUAUUUUGUUAGAUGGUUAUGUUAGUGGUAAUUUUAAAUGUAGCAUAUGGUCGCUUUUCUUGGUAUAUCAGUAACUAUUUUUGUAAAGGUGGCCUAAAGGGGUAUCUAUUGUAAGCAACACGAUUUUCAAAUAUUUUGUAAGAUGGUUAUGUUAGCGGCAAUUUUAAAAGUAGCAUAUAGGUCAUAUUUUUGUAAGGCUUCAUCGAGUAAGGGAUAUGUAUAGAAAUAUACACCAUUGUGUUAGACACGUAUUGAUAGUAAACGUUCUAUUGUUCUAUUGUCAG
This 2396-nucleotide unclassified non-coding RNA is filed under the name Acyrthosiphon pisum (pea aphid). RNAcentral's name for it is "uncharacterized LOC107883227, transcript variant X1". The record is from RNAcentral. Lineage: Eukaryota; Metazoa; Arthropoda; Insecta; Hemiptera; Aphididae.